RNAcentral lists this ribosomal RNA (497 nucleotides) under uncultured bacterium. RNAcentral describes it as "partial 16S ribosomal RNA". It matches the Rfam family "Bacterial small subunit ribosomal RNA", at positions 28 to 507 of the family's 1533-position model. The record is from RNAcentral.
GAUGAACGCUGGCGGCGUGCCUAAUACAUGCAAGUCGAGCGAACGGACGAGAAGCUUGCUUCUCUGAUGUUAGCGGCGGACGGGUGAGUAACACGUGGAUAACCUACCUAUAAGACUGGGAUAACUUCGGGAAACCGGAGCUAAUACCGGAUAAUAUUUUGAACCGCAUGGUUCAAAAGUGAAAGACGGUCUUGCUGUCACUUAUAGAUGGAUCCGGGCUGCAUUAGCUAGUUGGUAAGGUAACGGCUUACCAAGGCAACGAUGCAUAGCCGACCUGAGAGGGUGAUCGGCCGCACUGGAACUGAGACACGGUCCAGACUCCUGCGGGACGCAGCAGUAGGCAAUCUUCCGCAGUGGGCGAAAGCCUGACGGAGCAACGCCGAGUGAGAGAUGAAGGUCUUCGGAUCGUAAAACUCUGUUAUUAGGGAAGAACAUAUGUGUAAGUAACUGUGCACAUCUUGACGGUACCUAAUCAGAAAGCAACGGCUAACUACGUG